Molecule: ribosomal RNA, 492 nt
Filed under: uncultured bacterium
Lineage: Bacteria
Description: partial 16S ribosomal RNA
Rfam family: Bacterial small subunit ribosomal RNA
Source: RNAcentral
AGUGAACGCUGGCGGUAGGCCUAACACAUGCAAGUCGAACGGCAGCACAGUAAGAGCUCGCUCUUACGGGUGGCGAGUGGCGGAUGGGUGAGGAAUACAUCGGAAUCUAAUUUUUCGUGGGGGAUAACGUAGGGAAACUUACGCUAAUACCGCAUACGAUCUACGGGUGAAAGCAGGGGAUCUUCGGACCUUGCGCGAUUCAAUGAGCCGAUGUCGGAUUAGCUAGUUGGCGGGGUAAAGGCCCACCAAGGCGACGAUCCGUAGCUGGUCUGAGAGGAUGAUCAGCCACACUGGAACUGAGACACGGUCCAGACUCCUACGGGAGGCAGCAGUGGGGAAUAUUGGACAAUGGGCGCAAGCCUGAUGCAGCAAUGCCGCGUGGGUGAAGAAGGCCUUCGGGUUGUAAAGCCCUUUUGUUGGGAAAGAAAAGCAGCAGGUUAAUACCCCGCUGUUCUGACGGUACCCAAAGAAUAAGCACCGGCUAACUUCGUG